UGAACGCUGGCGGCGUGCCUAAUACAUGCAAGUCGAGCGAACGGACGAGAAGCUUGCUUCUCUGAUGUUAGCGGCGGACGGGUGAGUAACACGUGGAUAACCUACCUAUAAGACUGGGAUAACUUCGGGAAACCGGAGCUAAUACCGGAUAAUAUUUUGAACCGCAUGGUUCCAAAGUGAAAGACGGUCUUGCUGUCACUUAUAGAUGGAUCCGCGCUGCAUUAGCUAGUUGGUAAGGUAACGGCUUACCAAGGCAACGAUGCAUAGCCGACCUGAGAGGGUGAUCGGCCACACUGGAACUGAGACACGGUCCAGACUCCUACGGGAGGCAGCAGUAGGGAAUCUUCCGCAAUGGGCGAAAGCCUGACGGAGCAACGCCGCGUGAGUGAUGAAGGUCUUCGGAUCGUAAAACUCUGUUAUUAGGGAAGAACAUAUGUGUAAGUAACUGUGCACAUCUUGACGGUACCUAAUCAGAAAGCCACGGCUAACUACGUG
RNAcentral lists this ribosomal RNA (495 nucleotides) under uncultured bacterium. Its description in RNAcentral is "partial 16S ribosomal RNA". It matches the Rfam family "Bacterial small subunit ribosomal RNA", at positions 30 to 507 of the family's 1533-position model. The record is from RNAcentral.